Mycena leptocephala is the source of this 86-nucleotide non-coding RNA. NCBI's taxonomy places the organism in Eukaryota, Fungi, Basidiomycota, Agaricomycetes, Agaricales, Mycenaceae. The record is from the annotation of a GenBank genome assembly.
GGCCCAAUAGCAUAACGGUUAUGCUGCGCAUCCAGCUCUGGGAUGGAUUUAUGCGAAGGUCGCAGGUUCAACUCCUGCUUGGGCUU